Molecule: long non-coding RNA, 2532 nt
Filed under: Homo sapiens (human)
Lineage: Eukaryota; Metazoa; Chordata; Mammalia; Primates; Hominidae
Description: HSALNT0184397
Source: RNAcentral
AAAGAUAAAGAUAUACAAUGCAAACAGCAAUAAAAAGAGAGCUGAAGUGGCUACACUAAUAUCAGACAAAAUUGGCACGGUGGCUCACACCUGUAAUCCCAGCACUUUGGGAGGCCGAGGCAGGCAGAUCACCUGAGGUCAGGAGCUCAAGACCAGCCUGGCCAACAUGGUGAAACCCCAUCUCUACUAAAAAUACAAAAAAAUUAGCCAGGCGUGGUGGUGGGUGCCUGUAGUCUCAGCAACUCGGGAGGCUGAGGCAGGAGAAUCGCUUGAACCUGGGAGGUGGAGGUUGUGGCGAGCCGAGAUCACGCCACUGCACUCCAGCCUGGGCAACAAGAGGGAAAUUGCAUCUCAAAAAAAAUAAAAUAAAAUAAAUCAAGUUUGAGACAAAAAUUGUUACCAAAGACAAACAAGGACACUUUAUAAUGAUAAAGGGUCAAUCCAUCCAGAAGAAAUCACUAUUAUAAAUAUAUUUCAACCUAGCAAUAAAGCCCCAAAAUACAUGAAGCAAACUGAGGUCUUUGAGAAUAGAGAAGGCAGCUUUGUCCUAAAUAUUUGACUGCCAUAACCUAUUAUAGUGGUUAAUAUCCAAUAACUAGGGACUCAUUCCUUGGAGUUAAAGGUUUGCCUCCCCUACAGUUCUUCGUUAAAGUAUAAAUAUGUCCCUGGAAGCCACCAAUUGUGUUGCAAUUCCAUUUAGCUGAAGUUGGUUUAAGCUCCGUUGGAGCAGUGACUGCUAGUGACAGAGACAAACGGUUGAGCCAUUUUUGAUAGAUUAUAUAGGUAUGGCCUGGCCUGGGCCCAGGAGGAAAGCAGGGAGAAGAAGCAUCUCAGAGUGGGUAGAAGUAUUAAGAAUAGAGAAAGAGUAUAGGAUGAGGAGCAGGGAGAAAGCUAAGGUAUCACAGGGGCACAAAAAAAGUAUCGCAGGGGAACAAAAAAAGUCCCACAGAGAGUGUGGGAAACAAAUGCUAGACAAGGAGCAAAGCAACUGGGGCACUGCGUUGUGAUGAGGUUCUUGGUUUGGCAACUCAGCACUGAGGGCAGCAUCAGCCCCUAGAAGAAGCAAAAGGUAUAAGAACAGGGAAGCAGGCAAGAGCCGGGGAUGGCAAUGAGCACAGGCCAUUCAUUGGUAAAUACCCAGGAGUUGUGACCAGGUCUGAGCUGCCGAGUGAUUCCUGGACUACCACAGAGAGGGAGGGAGAGAGGGCUGGGUGCUGAGAUCAGGCAACAGGCACUGGAAGGCAUAGGCACUGAUAGAAAAACCAGGAAACUAGGAAACUCAUAGGAACAAAGAACAGCAAGAGGCAAGCCAGAUAUGAGCUCAGAACUCAGGCAAACGGGCUGGGCAAACAGAUGCUCAAAUGAGGUUGUGUUUGUGAAAGUGCCCAGUUCUGGGCAGAUGCUUAGUAACUGUUAGCUGGUUCUAAAUAUAAAACUGAAGCAAGGCAAGUGGCCAUUACAACGAUGUGAAUGACACAGAGCCAGAAGUUUCCUCUGGCAGCCUCUGGGCCACAGUGACAGCCCAGGGUGGCUCUGAUCAACAUGGUGGCUUAAAAGGAAUGGGAGGAGGGGAGCUGAGAGCUGGGGACAAGGAACUUCUCAGAGUUCCUCUGGAGUCCCAAUCCUCCACUUUUUUUAAAGACAGAACCUCACUCUGUCCCUCAGGCUGGAGUGCAGUGGCACCAUCAUAGCUCACUUUAACCUCAAACUCCUGGGCUCAGGUGAUCCUCCUGGCUCAGCCUCCUGAGUAGCUAAAGCUACAGGCUCACGCCACCAUGCUCUGCUAAUUUUCUAUUUAUUUAUUUAUUUAUUUAUUUAUUUAUUUAUUUAUUUAUUUAUUUAUUGUAGUGGUCGGGUCUUGCUGUGUUACUCAGGCUGGUGUCAAACUUCUGGUCUCAAAUGAUCCUCUGACUCAGCUGGGAUUACAGGUGUGAGCCACCACACUCGGCCCCCUCCUCUUUUUAAAAGGGGGGUUGGGGAAGAGAGCAUCAGAGGCCUGAAGACCCUCCCUGCUCCUUUCUCUCUCCUUUGAAGAAUCGUGGUGAUUUAUCCCACAUGCCAGAAGGCCAGGCACUAGGUCACUAGGGCCACCCUUCCCUGCCUUAAACCUUGCAUGGCCUGUUUCUAAAUGGAAGAAUGCAGUGGAAAGCAGGGGCAAGGAAUUAGGAAUAAAGACACUUGUGGGGUUAGGGAACCCCAGGAAUGGUCUGUUUGCCCCAUAAAUCCCAAUAGCUAUAUCUGCUUUCUGUCAAAAGCAGAAGAGUGAGCUUACUUCCUCCAUGGCCACCAUGAUCUUCUAUCCUUCCUUUCCCUUCCCGCACAUGACACACACAACACACACGUGCAUGCGCGCACACACACACACACACACACACACACAUUGGAGGGCCACCUCUGGGUGACCCAUGCAUCCCCUCUCCCUGCCUCAUCCUAUUAGUGGGACCACCACCACUGCUCUUCCCUAGGGGAAGGGAGUUUCCUGUGAAUUCUCUUUAACCUUGGACUGGGGUCCAGGGCCAGCCUAUGAUGGAA